UAACAGAGGGGGCAAGGCGUUAUUCGGAAUUAUUGGGCGUAAAGGGCGCGUAGGCGGCUUGGCAAGUGGAAGGUGAAAUCCCUCGGCUUAACCGAGGAACUGCCCUCCAAACUGCUUCGCUUGAGACCGGGAGAGGUGAGUGGAAUUCCCAGUGUAGCGGUGAAAUGCGUAGAUAUUGGGAGGAACACCAGUGGCGAAGGCGGCUCACUGGACCGGUACUGACGCUGAUGCGCGAAAGCGUGGGGAGCAAACAGG
Molecule: ribosomal RNA, 255 nt
Filed under: uncultured bacterium
Lineage: Bacteria
Description: partial 16S ribosomal RNA
Rfam family: Bacterial small subunit ribosomal RNA
Source: RNAcentral